GGGUGACGGAAAGAGAAGGAGAAGACGGGAGGAGGGUGAGGGUGGGUGACGGGAGCUAUGAACAGAGAGUAAAAGUGACAUUAAAAGUAAAAAAGUAAAAAAAAAAAGUAAAAAGAGUUAAAAAGAGAAAAAAAAAAGGUUAUUUUUGUAAUACAAAAAAGAUGGAGAAAGUUGGGGAGGUGGAGGGAGGAAACGAGGAGGUAGAGAGAGUAACACCCAAAAUUUUACCACUUGAAGCAAAAAUCUCAAAUAAGAAACUAAAUCCGCUAAAGAAUUGAAUAACAAGAGAGAGGGUGUUUCAUCUUCCACCUCCAAGCAUUUCAUCCUGCACCUCCAAACUUUAAUAAAAUUCCAAUUUUAACCCUAAUUAAAAAUGUAUUUUAAUUUUUAAAAUCUGUUUAAUCUUUAAAGGUGGUCAAAGAUUCCACUGCACAGUUUGAAUUUCAGAGAGAGAGAGUGUGAUGAUAUUGAAUUUGAGAGAGAGAGUAUCGGAAUUCACUCUCACUCUCACAGAACACCAUUAUUUUCCNNN
Molecule: long non-coding RNA, 532 nt
Filed under: Vigna radiata
Lineage: Eukaryota; Viridiplantae; Streptophyta; Magnoliopsida; Fabales; Fabaceae
Description: long non-coding RNA (VRAD_LNC009145)
Source: RNAcentral